This 57-nucleotide transfer RNA is filed under the name Ovis aries (sheep). It matches the Rfam family "tRNA", at positions 8 to 63 of the family's 71-position model. Rfam says of the family: Transfer RNA (tRNA) molecules are approximately 80 nucleotides in length. Their secondary structure includes four short double-helical elements and three loops (D, anti-codon, and T loops). The record is from Rfam by way of RNAcentral. Lineage: Eukaryota; Metazoa; Chordata; Mammalia; Artiodactyla; Bovidae.
UAGCUCAAAUGGUAAAGCAUCUGCCUGCAAUGCGGGAAACCCAGGUUCAAUCCCUGG